AUACGAAGGGGGCUAGCGUUGUUCGGAAUUACUGGGCGUAAAGCGUACGUAGGCGGACUGAUCAGUUGGGGGUGAAAUCCCAGGGCUUAACCCUGGAACUGCCUUCAAUACUGUCAGUCUUGAGUCCGGAAGAGGUGAGUGGAAUUCCUGGUGUAGAGGUGAAAUUCAUAGAUAUCAGGAGGAACACCAGUGGCGAAGGCGGCUCACUGGUCCGGUACUGACGCUGAGGUACGAAAGCGUGGGGAGCAAACAGGAUUAGAAACCCUAGUAGUCC
RNAcentral lists this ribosomal RNA (274 nucleotides) under uncultured bacterium. Its description in RNAcentral is "partial 16S ribosomal RNA". It matches the Rfam family "Bacterial small subunit ribosomal RNA", at positions 523 to 796 of the family's 1533-position model. The record is from RNAcentral.